GCUGGCGGCGUGCCUAAUACAUGCAGUCGAGCGGACAGAUGGGAGCUUGCUCCCUGCUGACUGACCUAGUAUGUUAGCGGCGGACGGGUGAGUAACACGUGGGUAACCUGCCUGUAAGACUGGGAUAACUCCGGGAAACCGGGGCUAAUACCGGAUGGUUGUUUGAACCGCAUGGUUCAAACAUAAAAGGUGGCUUCGGCUACCACUUACAGAUGGACCCGCGGCGCAUUAGCUAGUUGGUGAGGUAAUGGCUCACCAAGGCAACGAUGCGUAGCCGACCUGAGAGGGUGAUCGGCCACACUGGGACUGAGACACGGCCCAGACUCCUACGGGAGGCAGCAGUAGGGAAUCUUCCGCAAUGGACGAAAGUCUGACGGAGCAACGCCGCGUGAGUGAUGAAGGUUUUCGGAUCGUAAAGCUCUGUUGUUAGGGAAGAACAAGUACCGUUCGAAUAGGGCGGUACCUUGACGGUACCUAACCAGAAAGCCACGGCUAACUACGUGCCAGCAGCCGCGGUAAUACGUAGGUGGCAAGCGUUGUCCGGAAUUAUUGGGCGUAAAGGGCUCGCAGGCGGUUUCUUAAGUCUGAUGUGAAAGCCCCCGGCUCAACCGGGGAGGGUCAUUGGAAACUGGGGAACUUGAGUGCAGAAGAGGAGAGUGGAAUUCCACGUGUAGCGGUGAAAUGCGUAGAGAUGUGGAGGAACACCAGUGGCGAAGGCGACUCUCUGGUCUGUAACUGACGCUGAGGAGCGAAAGCGUGGGGAGCGAACAGGAUUAGAUACCCUGGUAGUCCACGCCGUAAACGAUGAGUGCUAAGUGUUAGGGGGUUUCCGCCCCUUAGUGCUGCAGCUAACGCAUUAAGCACUCCGCCUGGGGAGUACGGUCGCAAGACUGAAACUCAAAGGAAUUGACGGGGGCCCGCACAAGCGGUGGAGCAUGUGGUUUAAUUCGAAGCAACGCGAAGAACCUUACCAGGUCUUGACAUCCUCUGACAAUCCUAGAGAUAGGACGUCCCCUUCGGGGGCAGAGUGACAGGUGGUGCAUGGUUGUCGUCAGCUCGUGUCGUGAGAUGUUGGGUUAAGUCCCGCAACGAGCGCAACCCUUGAUCUUAGUUGCCAGCAUUCAGUUGGGCACUCUAAGGUGACUGCCGGUGACAAACCGGAGGAAGGUGGGGAUGACGUCAAAUCAUCAUGCCCCUUAUGACCUGGGCUACACACGUGCUACAAUGUGACUGAGUCUGCUGAUGA
RNAcentral lists this ribosomal RNA (1246 nucleotides) under Bacillus tequilensis. Its description in RNAcentral is "bacterial SSU rRNA". It matches the Rfam family "Bacterial small subunit ribosomal RNA", at positions 35 to 1253 of the family's 1533-position model. The record is from RNAcentral. Lineage: Bacteria; Bacillati; Bacillota; Bacilli; Caryophanales; Bacillaceae.